RNAcentral lists this ribosomal RNA (524 nucleotides) under uncultured bacterium. Its description in RNAcentral is "partial 16S ribosomal RNA". It matches the Rfam family "Bacterial small subunit ribosomal RNA", at positions 355 to 893 of the family's 1533-position model. The record is from RNAcentral.
UGGGGAAUGAUUGCACAAUGGGCGAAAGCCUGAUGCAGCAACGCCGCGUGAGUGAUGAAGGCCUUCGGGUUGUAAAGCUCUGUCUUUUGGGACGAUAAUGACGGUACCAAAGGAGGAAGCCACGGCUAACUACGUGCCAGCAGCCGCGGUAAUACGUAGGUGGCAAGCGUUGUCCGGAUUUUACUGGGCGUAAAGGAUGCGUAGGCGGAUUUUUAAGUGAGAUGUGAAAUACCCGGGCUUAACUUGGGUGCUGCAUUUCAAACUGGGAAUCUAGAGUGCGGGAGAGGAGAAUGGAAUUCCUAGUGUAGCGGUGAAAUGCGUAGAGAUUAGGAAGAACACCAGUGGCGAAGGCGAUUCUCUGGACCGUAACUGACGCUGAGGCAUGAAAGCGUGGGUAGCAAACAGGAUUAGAUACCCUGGUAGUCCACGCCGUAAACGAUGAGUACUAGGUGUAGGAGGUAUCGACCCCUUCUGUGCCGCAGUUAACACAAUAAGUACUCCGCCUGGGAAGUACGAUCGCAAGA